AUCGUUACCAGAAUAGUUGAAUGAUGUGUCGUCAGCAAAUAGCCGACACAGUGAAGUAAGCUUAUCAGCAAUAUCAUUAAUAUAUAAGACAAAGAGAAGAGGGCCCAGAACUGAUCCCUGGGGACACCAGCUGAAGACAUUACAGAAGGAAGAAGACGAGUUAUUUAAUACUACUCUCUGUUUUCUGUCGUGUAGAUAAUCCUGAAACCAAUUCAAUACGUUUCCGUCAACACCAUAAGCUUUCAUUUUAUAUAUAAGACCCCUAUGCCAAACUUUGUCAAAAGCUUUAGAGAAGUCACAGAAUACAAAACAAUUUAUAUCUUUUUUUUCCAAGGAG
This 337-nucleotide long non-coding RNA is filed under the name Mytilus galloprovincialis (Mediterranean mussel). The record is from RNAcentral. Lineage: Eukaryota; Metazoa; Mollusca; Bivalvia; Mytilida; Mytilidae.